This 2635-nucleotide long non-coding RNA is filed under the name Nicotiana benthamiana. RNAcentral's name for it is "long non-coding RNA (NBEN_LNC010561)". Lineage: Eukaryota; Viridiplantae; Streptophyta; Magnoliopsida; Solanales; Solanaceae. The record is from RNAcentral.
GAGAAUUAAUUCUGCUACAUUAAUUUGCAAGACACAUGCAUUGGUAAUUAGUGAAAGAAAAACAACAUGCUGCUGGGUCAAAUUGUGAAGUCCAACUGCCUAGGUCCAAUGGCCUAGAUCAGACUUGCUCAAAUGAGCCCAAGACUUGGGCCUGCUUGCGAGUCUAACCCAACUUACAAUUACAUACAAUCUUAAACAUGUUCAUUUCAAUAAGGAAAUAUACUAUUGAGAGUUUAUUAAUAAUUAAACUUAAAUAAAAAACUAACAGUCAACAUACAAAAUUUGUCAUUCUAAAACUUCACACAAGAAAGAUUUCAAAACUAAUGAACAUCAAUCUACCAGCCCCUUACAGAUUGUAUCCAAUAAGAAAGAAAGAAGAACUAAAAGAAAUAAAAGGAGAAUUGUCUGGUAACCUUGAACUUCUGCAAUCCGACUCUUCACAAUCGAGGUACCAACUUGCAAAAGAUCAAUAAUAAAGCUGUUUCUUACAAGCUGGCUAUUUUAACACCACAAAUGAAGCUUCUUACUGUCCAAAUCAUUCCUAUUCUACUAAGGAUUUCAUGAAUCUAAUCAUAUAAAGAGGUUAGAUCCACAGAAAUGCCUUUAAUUAUACCAGCUCAAUAUAUUUGUCAGGUUCAAACAUAGACACGCAAUGCUAUAAAAAUUAUAAUUCAUGGGUUUAACAAUGCUAAAGUUAAACUCAUGAACCAAUGUAGGUUCCAAGCCCAAAAAUCAUGACAGCUUUGGUGAAGUGCUAGAAUAAACUCAAAGGGAAUAAAAGGGGAAGUUUAGUCCAUGAACCUGACCAUGUAAGGGUCAGGCUCAAUGGACAAACCUGGUUUUAGGGGGGUUGAACAUAAUGUUUAAUCAGUACAAGAAGAAAUAGAAAUGCAUGUUAGUUGGUAGGAAUUAAAAUGAAAGUUUGAUGAAGAAAACAAGACACUAUGACAUACAUUAGAAAUAAGAAAAGUUACGAAUGCUGAGAAAGAAAAGCUUUAGCACUACUAUAACUUCAGCUUGUCAAAUUAAACUUAACAACAUAUACAAACGAUGUCAAACAAAAGGAAACAUCUCAUAUUCAUCUAAAACUUAAUUUACAUAGGAAUUAAUAACGAAAUGGUCAUAUGUACCUUGAAACAACAGUGAUUUUGUACAGAGUGUUAAAUUUUAACCCUCAUUCUCUAUGGGAAAAGGCACCAUAUAUUGGGAUAUAUAAUGCCUGGAGGAAUUAUUCCUUAGCCUAAACAGCAUAUUCCCUACAAAAUUGGGACAACUGAUUUUUCCUCAUUAGUUCAGUACUUUGUACUAAUCAAAUGAGGCCAUGUGCUCCUUUUUCUAGAGUAUUAUGAUAUCUCCAAUUAGGAAAAACCCUAAAUUAUCCUUUUGAAACCUGCUUAUUACAGCCUCUAUCUAAAAUUUCUUUGUUCAUUUAGGUCCCUAAGGUUUCUAAUGGUUGGCAAAUUAAAGCUAACAGUACAAGGACAACAUUUCUACACAUAAGAAGAUCAAAAUAUAAGACUAUUAAAGCACAACAACCCUUAAAUUAAAACUUAAAAUUACUGAUAUGAACAGAACUUGAAAAAUGGAACAACCAUAGAAGAAACGAGUUAACUAAAAAUGAAACAACAUGAAGGAAAACUUUGAAACUAAUAUUAACCGGAACUUCAAAGGAAAACUGCUAACCUAACAUAAUUGAUGAAACUUAGCAAACAAAAAAAAGGAACUUAAAUCAGGCGGCUAAUUUGGCAGUAGAACCACUUCAAACAAACUUUUUUUAAAAACAAAACACGACUUAACUAUCCUACAUGCCUCGAAUUUUAUCAAUACAAAUAACUUAAGAAAACUUGAAUCACUGAAAUUCAAAUAAACCAAGUAACCAAAACAAAAUUGACACCAAAGUAAUAAAAGUAAAAAGACCUAACCAAACAAGUAAAGAAAAAGCAGGAACAAAACGAAUUUGGCUGGGACAACAUAGACAAAUAAAGUGAAUCGACAUGCUGACUGAACCAUACGCAAGGAAAAACACAUAAAGAAAAAUAGGUGGAGAUGAUACUAAGAAAAAGGAAAAAAGGCAGAAGGGCAAAGAGAAUUACCCAAAAAAUCGAAAAAAGAUCUUCAAAACGGCACUAGAUUAAUUGUAUGGUCUAAUCCUCUAAAACGAACCAAAAUUAAUGCUAAUAAGUUUUUCUUGCCAAGAACAAACUGACUAGCAUGCAUUUUGGACUACUUUGAGCUUGGUAACCAAAUCAACUAGGGCUUUUGACUUUUUCAUAGAUUUGGAAUUUGGGGUUUUUUGUCAGGGGCACUUGGGAAAUCAAUGAUGAAAUCAUAAUGAAGGAAGGUCAAGGAUGAUGGGUUGUAAUUUUGGGGUAAUUUGGGGAAGUUAGGGUUUUGACCGAAUUUUCGAUCUAAGAUUCGAACAAAUCUAAAGGAAUUCGAGGGGAGAUAGUCGGAGAUUAGGAAGAGGGAGGUGAUGAGGGUUCUAUGAUGUAAAGAUGGGGUGGUUUGAGCAUCGCCGCUAGUGGAGGCGAUUUUUGGCACGCAAUCGUGGCAGAGGUGGCGAUGGAAUGCAAGGGCGGCUAUGGUUUCUCUUGGUUAUAGAGACUGAGUGAGAAUGAGGGGAUACGACGAGGGG